Molecule: ribosomal RNA, 253 nt
Filed under: uncultured bacterium
Lineage: Bacteria
Description: partial 16S ribosomal RNA
Rfam family: Bacterial small subunit ribosomal RNA
Source: RNAcentral
UACGUAGGGGGCAAGCGUUGUCCGGAUUUAUUGGGCGUAAAGAGCGUGUAGGCGGCCAUGCAGGUCCGUUGUGAAAACUCGAGGCUCAACCUCGAGACGUCGAUGGAAACCGCAUGGCUAGAGUCCGGAAGAGGAGAGUGGAAUUCCUGGUGUAGCGGUGGAAUGCGCAGAUAUCAGGAGGAACACCUAUAGCGAAGGCAGCUUGCUGGGACGUAACUGACGCUAAGGCGCGAAAGCGUGGGGAGCGAACAGG